UUGAAUGUGUAUUGGAUGCUACCCAAAAUACGAGUUCGAUGUUUUAUACAGAUCUACAGAUGUCAGAAGAAUUUAGACUUAUGUCAGCAAAAUAUGUGAAUUGUGCUCGCAAGAUGGUAAAGAGUGCGUCUGUGCUGCAGGAAACCAUGGAUGACGCCAUAGCGUACGGGCAGAAAGCAGCAUUUACCUUUGGGUGGGUCUGAAUCGGUAAUUGGCCCUGCCCACAUUUUUACAUGUUAAUUUGUUCAAUAAAAUUUUGAAUAUUCUGAA
RNAcentral lists this long non-coding RNA (270 nucleotides) under Dermacentor andersoni. Its description in RNAcentral is "uncharacterized LOC126544081". The record is from RNAcentral. Lineage: Eukaryota; Metazoa; Arthropoda; Arachnida; Ixodida; Ixodidae.